Long non-coding RNA from Amblyraja radiata (thorny skate), 107 nucleotides. RefSeq lists it as uncharacterized. The record is from RefSeq and is a predicted model, not a curated record. The transcript has 3 exons. Lineage: Eukaryota; Metazoa; Chordata; Chondrichthyes; Rajiformes; Rajidae.
AGAUGAGAUGAACAAAUGAAGAAGCGUCUCGAUCCAGAACGUCAUCCAUUCCUUCUCUCCAGAGAUGCUGCCCAUCCCGCUGAGUUACUCCAGCUUUUUGUGUCUUU